This is a long non-coding RNA of Pipistrellus kuhlii (Kuhl's pipistrelle), 713 nucleotides long. RefSeq lists it as uncharacterized. The record is from RefSeq and is a predicted model, not a curated record. The transcript is spliced from 2 exons. NCBI's taxonomy places the organism in Eukaryota, Metazoa, Chordata, Mammalia, Chiroptera, Vespertilionidae.
CUAGCCCUGACAACGGAUCAAACCCACAACCUAGGUAUGUGCCCUGACCUGGAACUGAACCUGAAGUCAUGGUGUACCGAGACGACACUCCAACCACUGAGCAACCCAGCCAGAGCAUCACUCCUGCAUUUUUAACAUCCACAUAACUAUGCAUUGUUACACAAUGUUCACAGUAAUUUCACAUAUCCUCUUUUCACACUCGUAAGAGCUUACACAAGACCCCAGGAGUGCUUUAUCUGAUAAAACUCAGGGGACAUGAAAAUGCUGGAUUCUGGAAAACUUUGAUAGGUGGCUCAAGAAGUGACUGUUGUAGUGUGAAAACACCGACGGAAACUAUUUGUGUGAAGUGUUUUAAUAUAAAACGUCUAUUGUUAAGAAAAAUUAUCGGGCACUUGGAAGAGGCCUGUAUGUCCUUCAAUGCAGUAAUGUGGUGUCCCAGAAGUCUACUGAAACUUGCUGUGAGAGAUAAUAGACUUCGUGUAUGUUAAGCGUUGUAUCAGAUCCUAUGGGAAUGAGUGUUGUACACCAGCCUAAAUGUACCUGGAGUUACUGUCCUUUUAAGGAAUCUGAAGAAUGUUGCCCCUUCUGCAGGAACCUUCAUGCUGAGAUGACCCUAUAUCGUUAGUAUGUCACAGCAAGAUGCCUUAACGAAGAGAGUCAGAGUGCAGAUAACUGCCAACAUUAAGUUGAUAUAAACACAGCAAACACAAAGG